GAAAGACGCAGAAGCAUUUUCCAAAUUGGAUUCAAAUAUCUUGCGGUUGCUGUUGCUAAAAAAAAAAAGGUGGAGGAUGCACAUUAGGAGAUCACCUUGAAGAUUUGAUGCAUUUUUGUUGGUUGCUAAAAAGAAGCACAUGAGUAGAUCACCUUGAAGAGUUGAUGCAUUUUUGUUGGUCGCUGAUUUUGUUAUCACAUUCAAAAUUUUAUGCAUUUUUAUUUGUUGAAUUGUUGAUUUUGUUUUCAGUUUCAUAA
RNAcentral lists this long non-coding RNA (257 nucleotides) under Medicago truncatula (barrel medic). RNAcentral's name for it is "lncRNA gene11437". Lineage: Eukaryota; Viridiplantae; Streptophyta; Magnoliopsida; Fabales; Fabaceae. The record is from RNAcentral.